GCGCGCAUAGCGCAGUGGUAGCGCGUCCGCUUUGCAAGCGGAAGGCCCGGCUUCAAUCCCCGGUGUGUCCA
Molecule: transfer RNA, 71 nt
Filed under: Phytophthora infestans T30-4
Lineage: Eukaryota; Oomycota; Peronosporomycetes; Peronosporales; Peronosporaceae
Rfam family: tRNA
About the family: Transfer RNA (tRNA) molecules are approximately 80 nucleotides in length. Their secondary structure includes four short double-helical elements and three loops (D, anti-codon, and T loops). Further hydrogen bonds mediate the characteristic L-shaped molecular structure. tRNAs have two regions of fundamental functional importance: the anti-codon, which is responsible for specific mRNA codon recognition, and the 3' end, to which the tRNAs corresponding amino acid is attached (by aminoacyl-tRNA synthetases). tRNAs cope with the degeneracy of the genetic code in two manners: having more than one tRNA (with a specific anti-codon) for a particular amino acid; and 'wobble' base-pairing, i.e. permitting non-standard base-pairing at the 3rd anti-codon position.
Source: Rfam by way of RNAcentral